This 253-nucleotide ribosomal RNA is filed under the name uncultured bacterium. Its description in RNAcentral is "partial 16S ribosomal RNA". It matches the Rfam family "Bacterial small subunit ribosomal RNA", at positions 524 to 776 of the family's 1533-position model. The record is from RNAcentral.
GACGAACCGUGCGAACGUUGUUCGGAUUCACUGGGCUUAAAGGGCGCGUAGGCGGGUGCUCAAGUCCGUGGUGAAAUCCUCCGGCUCAACCGGAGAACUGCCUCGGAUACUGGGCGUCUCGAGUGUGGUAGGGGUAUGCGGAACUAUCGGUGGAGCGGUGAAAUGCGUUGAUAUCGAUAGGAACUCCGGUGGCGAAGGCGGCAUACUGGACCACCACUGACGCUGAUGCGCGAAAGCCAGGGGAGCAAACGGG